RNAcentral lists this long non-coding RNA (749 nucleotides) under Ananas comosus (pineapple). RNAcentral describes it as "long non-coding RNA (ACOM_LNC042438)". The record is from RNAcentral. Lineage: Eukaryota; Viridiplantae; Streptophyta; Magnoliopsida; Poales; Bromeliaceae.
AACCAUUCACCGUCUUCAUUAGGUAUACCUAGCACCCAGCCCGACCCCGACACCUCUCCCUCCCUGUCUUGCUUUCGCCUUUUCUCUCUCUUUCUCUCUCUAUCUCUUUCUUUCUCUCUGCCCCUCCCUCUCCAGCAGCCCUCGUCGGUCGCUACCGCCGGUCGCCGUCGACCCACGCAUCCACCGCCCGUGCCAACCUCCCUGAGCAACCCACAUUGCAGAUAGCAACCUCCCUUAGCAAGUUUAAACUAGGUUUAUCUCACCUUGCUAUCUCAGCUGCAGUUAUUAGCACACUUUAGAGUAGGUUUAAAACCUAGUUUAACCUUAUCUUCACUACAACAAAAUUGAGCUUUAGUGGCAAUUUAAUAGCGGCGAUUAUCAAAGAGCCACUAUUACUUAUUAUCUUAUUGUACUUUAGCGGCAAUUAUUUUAAACUAUAUAUUUUUACCGACUAAUAUUUAUAUAUUAAAUAUAAUCCUAAUCCAAACUCAACCCUAUCCCAACCCACCCGAACCCACCCUGCGUCGACCUCAUUCGCUCGGACCAAACCCUCUCGCUCAUGUGCUUGAUCAGAUCCGUUCUCUCUCUCUCUUCCCCCCUCUCGCUCAUGCGCUCGAUCAGAUCUGCUCUUUUUCUCUCUCUCUCUCUCUCUCUCUCUCUCUCUUCCCCCCUCCUUUCCCCCUCAUCUCUCGAUCCAAGCCGUAACCCUAGCUUCUCUCCUUGGUUCCUUCCGCUGAUGGCUUCUCCUA